UACGUAGGGGGCAAGCGUUGUCCGGAAUCAUUGGGCGUAAAGAGCGUGUAGGCGGCCAGAUAAGUCCGCUGUGAAAACUCGAGGCUCAACCUCGAGACGCCGGUGGAAACCAUCAGGCUAGAGUCCGGAAGAGGAGAGUGGAAUUCCUGGUGUAGCGGUGAAAUGCGCAGAUAUCAGGAAGAACACCCGUGGCUAAGGCGGCUCUCUAGUACGGUACUGACGCUGAGACGCGAAAGCGUGGGGAGCGAACAGG
Molecule: ribosomal RNA, 253 nt
Filed under: uncultured bacterium
Lineage: Bacteria
Description: partial 16S ribosomal RNA
Rfam family: Bacterial small subunit ribosomal RNA
Source: RNAcentral